GAUGAACGCUAGCGAUAGGCUUAACACAUGCAAGUCGAGGGGCAGCGAGGGUAGCAAUACCUGUCGGCGACCGGCGCACGGGUGAGUAACGCGUAUGUAACCUGCCCGCAACAGGGGGAUAACCCGGCGAAAGUCGGACUAAUACCGCAUAAAACAGGGGUCCCGCAUGGGAAUAUUUGUUAAAGAUUUAUCGGUUGCGGAUGGGCAUGCGUACCAUUAGGUAGUUGGUGAGGUAACGGCUCACCAAGCCUUCGAUGGUUAGGGGUUCUGAGAGGAAGGUCCCCCACACUGGUACUGAGACACGGACCAGACUCCUACGGGAGGCAGCAGUGAGGAAUAUUGAUCAAUGGGCGAGAGCCUGAACCAGCCAAGUCGCGUGAAGGAUGACUGCCCUAUGGGUUGUAAACUUCUUUUACAAGGGAAUAAAAUGAGAUACGUGUAUUUUAUUGCAUGUACCUUGGGAAUAAGCAUCGGCUAACUCCGUG
Molecule: ribosomal RNA, 485 nt
Filed under: uncultured bacterium
Lineage: Bacteria
Description: partial 16S ribosomal RNA
Rfam family: Bacterial small subunit ribosomal RNA
Source: RNAcentral